This 301-nucleotide ribosomal RNA is filed under the name uncultured bacterium. RNAcentral's name for it is "partial 16S ribosomal RNA". It matches the Rfam family "Bacterial small subunit ribosomal RNA", at positions 509 to 809 of the family's 1533-position model. The record is from RNAcentral.
CAGCCGCCACGGUAAUACGGAGGGUGCAAGCGUUAAUCGGAAUUACUGGGCGUAAAGCGCACGCAGGCGGUUUGUUAAGUCAGAUGUGAAAUCCCCGAGCUUAACUUGGGAACUGCAUUUGAAACUGGCAAGCUAGAGUCUUGUAGAGGGGGGUAGAAUUCCAGGUGUAGCGGUGAAAUGCGUAGAGAUCUGGAGGAAUACCGGUGGCGAAGGCGGCCCCCUGGACAAAGACUGACGCUCAGGUGCGAAAGCGUGGGGAGCAAACAGGAUUAGAUACCCGCGUAGUCCCUGUCUCUUAUAA